RNAcentral lists this ribosomal RNA (251 nucleotides) under uncultured prokaryote. RNAcentral's name for it is "partial 16S rRNA". It matches the Rfam family "Bacterial small subunit ribosomal RNA", at positions 525 to 775 of the family's 1533-position model. The record is from RNAcentral.
ACGUAGGUGGCUAGCGUUGUUCGGAUUUAUUGGGCGUAAAGGGUCUGUAGGGGGCCGGCUAAGUCUGAUGUGAAAUCCCGAGGCUCAACCUCGGAAUUGCAUUGGAGACUGGUUGGCUAGAGCAUCGGAGAGGUGAGCGGAAUUCCUGGUGUAGCGGUGGAAUGCGUAGAUAUCAGGAAGAACACCGAGAGCGAAGGCAGCUCACUGGACGAUCGCUGACACUGAGGGACGAAAGCGUGGGGAGCAAACAG